This 362-nucleotide ribosomal RNA is filed under the name uncultured eukaryote. RNAcentral describes it as "partial 18S ribosomal RNA". It matches the Rfam family "Eukaryotic small subunit ribosomal RNA", at positions 592 to 976 of the family's 1831-position model. The record is from RNAcentral.
CAAUAGCGUAUACUAAUGUUGUUGCAGUUAAAAAGCUCGUAGUUGAACUUCUGGUAGGAGUGUCCCGGCCUUUUUGUUUUUACAAAUUGUAUGCUGUGUGACAUCUCUGGCCAUCCUUCUUCUUUGUUUAAAGAAGAUCUUUCACUGUAAAAAAUUAGGGUGUUCAAAGCAAAAGUUUCUUUGGAAUAUAUUAGUAUGGGAUGAUAAGAUAGGCUCUAGAUGCUAUUUUGUUGGUUUGCACAUUUAGAGAAUGAUUAACAGGGACAGUUGGGGGUAUUCGUAUUUACAUGUCAGAGGUGAAAUUCUUGGAUUUUGGAAAGACGAACUACUGCGAAAGCAUUUACCAAGGAUGUUUUCAUUAA